Molecule: RNA transcript, 2123 nt
Organism: Juglans regia (Persian walnut)
Lineage: Eukaryota; Viridiplantae; Streptophyta; Magnoliopsida; Fagales; Juglandaceae
Gene name: chaperone protein dnaJ 15-like
Exons: 12
Source: RefSeq, a predicted model, not a curated record
AAUUACAGAAAGAAAAAUGAAGACGAAGUCACGAACUUACUAAGAGGGAGACCAGAAAAGUAGACGAAAGAAGAAAGAAGCCGUUUCACAUCUCUUCCCUCCAUUUUAUAUAUUUCUGCAAAUGUCAAAACCCUAGGCUUCUUUGUUCUUUUUAUUUUAUUUUUAUGUAUUUUUCAUCUUCUGUAAUUAGACUUAGCGUCGAUGAUAUUGUUGCCAUAUGCCAUUAGAUACUUAUCAACUCUCCGUCUUUUCAAGUUUCCAAGAAAAUAUAGCGAUCCGAUGAUUCUUUGACUUGCGUAUAUUUUCUUUGAAAGAUUGAUCCUUUUUCUUUGUUGUCAAUUUUUUAUUUUUGUCACCUCGAGAUAAUCUACCAUUGGAGCAACCGUGACAAAAAAGAUUGGAUUUUGAGAUUUAACAGUGGGAGGGAUAGAGAGUGAAAAAUGGAGGGAAUGGGGACGAGUUCGAAGAUGGAAGGAUCUUCGGCCCCAGCGAGUCGGCGAGACCCCUAUGACGUGCUGUGCGUUUCGAGAGACUCCACCGAUCAGGAAAUCAAAACUGCGUAUCGAAAACUCGCUCUCAAGUAUCAUCCUGACAAGAAUGCCGCCAAUCCUGAGGCUUCUGAACUUUUCAAGGAGGUUGCAUAUUCGUAUAGCAUCUUAUCUGACCCAGAGAAGAAAAGGCAAUAUGACAGUUCAGGGUUUGAGGCGCUUGAUGCUGAUGGCAUGGACAUGGAAAUUGACUUGUCUAAUCUUGGUACUGUCAACACUAUGUUUGCAGCUUUAUUCAGCAAGCUGGGUGUCCCUAUUAAGACUACGAUUUCUGCUAAUGUUCUCGAAGAAGCUUUGAAUGGCACUGUUACAGUCAGACCCCUUCCAAUUGGAACAGCAGUUAGUGGAAAGGUAGACAAGCAAUGUGCCCACUUCUUUGGUGUAACAAUCAAUGAGCAACAAGUGGAGGCUGGGAUUGUAGUGAGAGUUACUUCAACUUCACAGAGCAAAUUCAAGUUACUCUAUUUUGAACAAGAUGCAAGUGCUGGUUAUGGUUUGGCAUUACAGGAAGAUAGCGAGAAGAAUGGUAAGGUGACAUCUGCAGGGAUGUACUUCUUACAUUUUCAAGUGUACAGAAUGGAUUCAACUGUGAAUGCGCUAGCAAUGGCUAAGGACCCUGAAGCCGCUUUCUUUAAAAGGUUGGAAGGUCUUCAACCCUGUGAGGUCUCAGAACUAAAAGCUGGAACUCAUAUAUUCGCCGUUUAUGGAGAUAAUUUUUUCAAGACUGCUACAUAUACAAUUGAGGCUCUUUGUGCAAAGUCAUAUGAGGACACAACAGAGAAGCUCAAGGAGAUUGAGGCUCAGAUUUUAAGAAAGAGGACUGAGCUACGUCAAUUUGAGACAGAAUACAGAAAGGCAUUGGCACGCUUUCAAGAAGUGACCAAUAGAUACAACCAGGAAAAGCAGUCUGUACUGUGACAUAUGUGACAUACACGUGCAAAUUUUAGUAUGAUAGAAGCUAAUGAGACUAUCUUUAUUCUUUGUGGGGGUCAAUUAGGGAGGUUAUGGUGGAUGAGCUACUGAAACAGCGGGACAAUAUUCAUUUGUCAUUCUCUGUUGCCAAUAGUAGCUUGAGUAGCAGUAUUAGUUUUAGUAAUGGCAGUAGUAGCAAAUUUGUUGGUGAAGAUUCAAAGCCAGAGAGUCCUGGGGAAGAUGGAAGCUCAGAUGGCAAGGAUAAAUCAUCAAAAAAGAAAUGGUUCAAAAGGAUCUGAUAAAAAGCUUGGUUGAGAUGGUGUUUGGCCUAUUCAGUUUUAUUGGAUUGUUUGAAAAUUCCAUCCUUGCAUUUAGAUGUUUGGGCAUCUAGGCUUUGCUGCUUCAAAAGGCUUGCAUUGAAUUCCAUGUUCAAUUUCUCUCUCUAAACCUUCACCAAGGUUUUCCAUUACGGGUUUUACAAUUUGGUUGUAAAAACAUUUGAAGAAGUAUGUGUAUUAAUAUCUUUUGUAUCCAUGAUGCCAUCGAGGGAGUUACUUGUCCUCCAAUUUCAUCUAGCAUCCUGAAGGACCUGAGCAUAUAAGUCUGAAACUGAGAUAGUAUAUUCAUUCAUUUUGUUUAUGUUGUAAAAAUGACAUUUUCACU